CAGCUUGAAGUCACAGCAGCCAGAGGAAAUUCUGCCACCAUUUUCCCAGGUCUGCAGCCCCUCCAGCUGGGAACCUGCUCCUGGAGCCAUCCCUCUGCAAACAGGUGUCCUCUCCCGGAGAAGCUAGCCACAACUCUCCCAGCACCGCCUCUGUGCUUUCUGUGCUCGCCCAUCGUGAAGCCAGCCUAUGCCUCCAGUCUCUUCUCUACCAGGAGGGAGCAGCUAAAAGCUGAGAUUUGUUGCAAUUUACUUUUGUCCCCCACCCAUGCCUUCACAGUGCCCGGCACUUAUUUGGUGUUUAAUAAACUGCCCAUUAAAUGC
This 321-nucleotide long non-coding RNA is filed under the name Homo sapiens (human). RNAcentral's name for it is "non-protein coding lnc-CANT1-3:4". Lineage: Eukaryota; Metazoa; Chordata; Mammalia; Primates; Hominidae. The record is from RNAcentral.